Molecule: ribosomal RNA, 729 nt
Filed under: Triticum aestivum (bread wheat)
Lineage: Eukaryota; Viridiplantae; Streptophyta; Magnoliopsida; Poales; Poaceae
Description: partial small subunit ribosomal RNA
Source: RNAcentral
GUCUGCAGCUCCGUGGCUUGCUGCUGGCGCUACUGCUCGAGAAGCGGUUGUGUUCAUGUUGGCGGCUCAGUGGGCUGCUGCCGGUGCUGCUGCUCGAGAAGCGGUAGUGUCCGCGUCGGCGGCUCCGCGGGCAGGUGCCGGCGCGACUGCUCGAGCAGCGGUUGUGUCCACGUACGAGAAGUCAUACAUUGACUGGAGUGGGCUUUCGGAACGGUUAGACGUAUACCUAGCAGGUUACGAAAUCAAUGUUCAUUAUACUUGUGUUUAUUUCUGUGUGGGUCUUUCUCUGGAUCUACUUACCGUAAUGGUUGAUGAUGUAGUACAACGUAAUAAGGAAGUCCAUGACAACAUACUAUUGUAAGAACUGUAAGUGUCCCAAUUUCCUGACAUACCAGGGCUGGUGAGGGCUGCCCUGCGAGUGGGGCACGGUCCUAUAUUCGUUGUGGGUUGUGAACCCACUACUAGUCAUGGGUUCGUGAGCUAAGUCAAAACAACGAGUUUAUAACUUAACACAGUACUUAACGUCUCGGAUUGCUUUAUUUUUCCGUUUCCCUAUCUCUCGCCAUGACAUCAACCAGGAUAGGACUUAGAGAGUAGUUCCGUCUCUACUCACCUGCAAGGUUUUCGUGAAGAUGCCAAACAUCAAUCAGGAUGGUGGGGUAGAAGAGUUUAUUCUAACAAAAAGAAAAAUAAACACCGAACACUACGAUUAUGAAAAAGUAAACAACC